RNAcentral lists this ribosomal RNA (904 nucleotides) under Arthrobacter sp. CF36. Its description in RNAcentral is "bacterial SSU rRNA". It matches the Rfam family "Bacterial small subunit ribosomal RNA", at positions 542 to 1445 of the family's 1533-position model. Lineage: Bacteria; Bacillati; Actinomycetota; Actinomycetes; Micrococcales; Micrococcaceae. The record is from RNAcentral.
UAUCCGGAUUAUUGGGCGUAAGAGCUCGUAGGCGGUUUGUCGCGUCUGCCGUGAAAGUCCGGGGCUCAACUCCGGAUCUGCGGUGGGUACGGGCAGACUAGAGUGAUGUAGGGGAGACUGGAAUUCCUGGUGUAGCGGUGAAAUGCGCAGAUAUCAGGAGGAACACCGAUGGCGAAGGCAGGUCUCUGGGCAUUAACUGACGCUGAGGAGCGAAAGCAUGGGGAGCGAACAGGAUUAGAUACCCUGGUAGUCCAUGCCGUAAACGUUGGGCACUAGGUGUGGGGGACAUUCCACGUUUUCCGCGCCGUAGCUAACGCAUUAAGUGCCCCGCCUGGGGAGUACGGCCGCAAGGCUAAAACUCAAAGGAAUUGACGGGGGCCCGCACAAGCGGCGGAGCAUGCGGAUUAAUUCGAUGCAACGCGAAGAACCUUACCAAGGCUUGACAUGGGCCGGAUCGCCGCAGAAAUGUGGUUUCCCCUUUGGGGCCGGUUCACAGGUGGUGCAUGGUUGUCGUCAGCUCGUGUCGUGAGAUGUUGGGUUAAGUCCCGCAACGAGCGCAACCCUCGUUCUAUGUUGCCAGCGCGUGAUGGCGGGGACUCAUAGGAGACUGCCGGGGUCAACUCGGAGGAAGGUGGGGACGACGUCAAAUCAUCAUGCCCCUUAUGUCUUGGGCUUCACGCAUGCUACAAUGGCCGGUACAAAGGGUUGCGAUACUGUGAGGUGGAGCUAAUCCCAAAAAGCCGGUCUCAGUUCGGAUUGGGUCUGCAACUCGACCCCAUGAAGUCGGAGUCGCUAGUAAUCGCAGAUCAGCAACGCUGCGGUGAAUACGUUCCCGGGCCUUGUACACACCGCCCGUCAAGUCACGAAAGUUGGUAACACCCGAAGCCCGGUGGCCUACCCCUUG